This 72-nucleotide transfer RNA is filed under the name Ictidomys tridecemlineatus (thirteen-lined ground squirrel). Its description in RNAcentral is "Spermophilus tridecemlineatus (thirteen-lined ground squirrel) tRNA". It matches the Rfam family "tRNA". From Rfam's summary of the family: Transfer RNA (tRNA) molecules are approximately 80 nucleotides in length. Their secondary structure includes four short double-helical elements and three loops (D, anti-codon, and T loops). Lineage: Eukaryota; Metazoa; Chordata; Mammalia; Rodentia; Sciuridae. The record is from Rfam by way of RNAcentral.
AGGGCUGUAGCUCAAUGGUAAAGCAUGUGUUUAGCAUACUCUAGGGCUUGGGAUCAAUCCCCAGCACCACUG